Molecule: ribosomal RNA, 271 nt
Filed under: uncultured bacterium
Lineage: Bacteria
Description: partial 16S ribosomal RNA
Rfam family: Bacterial small subunit ribosomal RNA
Source: RNAcentral
CUUCUGAUGGCGACCGGCGCACGGGUGCGUAACGCGUAUGCAACCUACCCGUAACAGGGGGAUAACACUGAGAAAUCGGUACUAAUACCGCAUAACACUAUGAGAGGCAUCUCUUGUGGUCGAAAGUUUCGGCGGUUACAGAUGGGCAUGCGUUGUAUUAGCUGGUUGGUAAGGUAACGGCUUACCAAGGCGACGAUACAUAGGGGGACUGAGAGGUUAACCCCCCACAUUGGUACUGAGACACGGACCAAACUCCUACGGGAGGCAGCAG